RNAcentral lists this ribosomal RNA (468 nucleotides) under uncultured bacterium. RNAcentral describes it as "partial 16S ribosomal RNA". It matches the Rfam family "Bacterial small subunit ribosomal RNA", at positions 28 to 507 of the family's 1533-position model. The record is from RNAcentral.
GACGAACGCUGGCGGCGUGCCUAACACAUGCAAGUCGAACGGAAAGGCCCUGCUCUUGUGGCGUGCUCAUGUGGCGAAAGGGUGAGUAUCACGUGAGUAACCUGCCCUUGUCUUUGGGAUAACUUCUGGAAACUCGGGCUAAUACCCGGUAGGAGCUCCUGCUGCACGGUGGGGGAUGGUAAGUUUCGGCGUUUCGGGAUGGACGCGCGGCUUAUCAGCUUGUUGGUGGGGUAGUGGCUUACCAAGGCUUGGACGGGUAGCCGGCCUGAGAGGGUGACAGGCCACAAUGGGCCUGAGGAAGGGCCCAGACGCCAACGGGAGGCAGCAGUGGAAAAUAUUGCAAAAUGGGCCGAAGCCUGAUACAACAGUGCCGGGUGCGGGAACACGGCCUGCGGGGUAUAAACCGCUUUCGACUGGAACGAAGAGUGAGUGACGGUAACGGGUAAGAAAGCAACGGCUAACUACGUG